CGUGUAGGCGGGAAAGAAAGUCAGAAGUGAAAUCCCAUGGCUUAACUGUGGAGCUGCUUCUGAAACUUCUUUUCUUGAGUGCUGGAGAGGAAAGUGGAAUUCCAAGUGUAGCGGUGAAAUGCGUAGAGAUUUGGAGGAACACCAGUGGCGAAGGCGGCUUUCUGGACAGUAACUGACGCUGAGGCGCGAAAGCGUGGGGAGCAAACAGGAUUAGAUACCCUGGUAGUCCACGCUGUAAACGAUGGAUACUAGGUGUAGGAGGUAUCGACCCCUUCUGUGCCGGAGUUAACACAAUAAGUAUCCCACCUGGGGAGUACGGCCGCAAGGUUGAA
RNAcentral lists this ribosomal RNA (332 nucleotides) under uncultured bacterium. Its description in RNAcentral is "bacterial SSU rRNA". It matches the Rfam family "Bacterial small subunit ribosomal RNA", at positions 568 to 898 of the family's 1533-position model. The record is from RNAcentral.